Molecule: unclassified non-coding RNA, 329 nt
Filed under: plant metagenome
Description: partial contains 5.8S ribosomal RNA, internal transcribed spacer 2, and large subunit ribosomal RNA
Rfam family: 5.8S ribosomal RNA (bases 1-105)
Source: RNAcentral
GAAAUGCGAUAAGUAAUGUGAAUUGCAGAAUUCCGUGAAUCAUCGAAUCUUUGAACGCACAUUGCGCCCUCUGGUAUUCCGGGGGGCAUGCCUGUCCGAGCGUCAUUGCGAACCCCUCAAGCACGACUUGUGUGAUGGGCCCUCCCGCGUCUUGGUCGUCAAGACGGGCCCGAAAUGCAGUGGCGGCUUCGCGGUUAUCCGAUCAGCCAGAGCGUAUGGGGACUUUCUCUCUGUCACACGCCCGCGGCGCGGACCGACGCCUGUCGACCUUCAUUCAUCGUUUUCUCGGUUGACCUCGGAUCAGGUAGGGAUGCCCGCUGAACUUAAGC